CCCAGCAGCCUCAUCAGCUGAGUAAAGAAGGUCACUUCCUGGCAGGUGCAGGACCCUCAGGAUAUCUUGGGGACGUCAUGAAGAGGAAUUAGCCCUAUUCUACAGAGCCCUCUUCCAGGUUCUCCUUGCCCUGUUUGCCGCGUACAUGAAACCCCACCACAGAUAUGGAAGCUGAAAACUAUAAAUUACCCUCACCCCCCCUUCAUUCGGGGCUCAGAUCUUUGGAGAAGUGGUCUCCUCUGAACCCGCCGGCGUUAAAUAAAUCUCCGAUUCACCAAGA
This is a long non-coding RNA of Herpailurus yagouaroundi (jaguarundi), 280 nucleotides long. RefSeq lists it as uncharacterized. The transcript has 2 exons. NCBI's taxonomy places the organism in Eukaryota, Metazoa, Chordata, Mammalia, Carnivora, Felidae. The record is from RefSeq and is a predicted model, not a curated record.